UACGAAGGACCCGAGCGUUAUCCGGAUUUAUUGGGUUUAAAGGGUGCGUAGGCGGAUUGAUAAGUCAGUGGUGAAAGCCCGUCGCUUAACGGCGGAACUGCCAUUGAUACUGUCAGUCUUGAGUAUGGUUGAGGUGGGCGGAAUGUGUCAUGUAGCGGUGAAAUGCUUAGAUAUGACACAGAACACCAAUUGCGAAGGCAGCUCGCUAAACCAUAACUGACGCUGAUGCACGAAAGCGUGGGGAGCAAACAGG
Molecule: ribosomal RNA, 253 nt
Filed under: uncultured bacterium
Lineage: Bacteria
Description: partial 16S ribosomal RNA
Rfam family: Bacterial small subunit ribosomal RNA
Source: RNAcentral